Non-coding RNA from Paramarasmius palmivorus, 99 nucleotides. NCBI's taxonomy places the organism in Eukaryota, Fungi, Basidiomycota, Agaricomycetes, Agaricales, Marasmiaceae. The record is from the annotation of a GenBank genome assembly.
UGCCCCAUGGCUGAGUUGGUUACAGCGUCCGACUGUUACCUCUCCCCUUGGUGAUGACCAACAAUCGGAAGGUCGUGAGUUCGAGCCUCACUGGGGCAG